AACGCUAAUUUUCAGAAUACAUCGAUUUCCUAAUUCCUUUUUUUUUUUUUAUAUUUUCGAGAUAAUUCACUGCUAACUGAUUUGAAAAAAAAUGUUUGUAUCUGAAAUUUACUCUACAUUGCAUAUAUCUUCAAAUUUUGAAAAUAUGUAAGAAAAAAAGAAUAAUAACAGAAUUUGAUCUUUGACCUUAUUUUAUGAAAAACUGUUACCACAUUUCGUUUUGACGACAUCGAAAUUUCAAAAGUACUCAUUUUUCCGAAUCCAAUGAUAUAUAAUAUAACCAUAUAGUAUGUUUGACGAUUAAAUCUUCAAAAUAUUGUGUCUGGUCACCGUACUAAUAAUAUAAAUGUGAACUACACUAACUUCUCAAAGUAUCAAACCUAGUAGACAUUGAAAACACUUAUAUGACGUCAUAAUAGUAUUAAAUAAACUUAAUGUUACAAGAGCCUUGGUGGACACAGAAGAACAGCACACUUAAAAUACUUCAGCAUAGUUAUAAUUAAAAAAUGUCAUA
Molecule: long non-coding RNA, 514 nt
Filed under: Mytilus galloprovincialis (Mediterranean mussel)
Lineage: Eukaryota; Metazoa; Mollusca; Bivalvia; Mytilida; Mytilidae
Source: RNAcentral